This 83-nucleotide transfer RNA is filed under the name Candidatus Sericytochromatia bacterium. RNAcentral describes it as "tRNA-Leu". It matches the Rfam family "tRNA". From Rfam's summary of the family: Transfer RNA (tRNA) molecules are approximately 80 nucleotides in length. Their secondary structure includes four short double-helical elements and three loops (D, anti-codon, and T loops). The record is from RNAcentral. Lineage: Bacteria; Bacillati; Candidatus Sericytochromatia.
GCCGGGAUGGUGAAAUGGCAGACACAGGGGACUUAAAAUCCCCCGGUAGCAAUACCGUGCGGGUUCGAUCCCCGCUCCCGGCA